GGUUGAUGCUUACGUGUUUAUCGUUGUGUGGUGCGGACAAGUCUAGAAUAAGUCGCUUUUUGAAAGAACAUUUACCCUCCAUAACUCCCAAUGAACUUACUCGAUAAUCAUUAAAAGGUAAAUUUUCAAACGUACCAUAAACGAAACCGUUACAUAGUUCUUUGUGAAUAAGAUCUGAAACUGAAUUUUUCUGUGACCUCUUC
Molecule: long non-coding RNA, 203 nt
Filed under: Mytilus galloprovincialis (Mediterranean mussel)
Lineage: Eukaryota; Metazoa; Mollusca; Bivalvia; Mytilida; Mytilidae
Source: RNAcentral